GAUGAACGCUGGCGGCGUGCCUAAUACAUGCAAGUCGAGCGAACAGAUAAGGAGCUUGCUCCUUUGACGUUAGCGGCGGACGGGUGAGUAACACGUGGGUAACCUACCUAUAAGACUGGAAUAACUCCGGGAAACCGGGGCUAAUGCAGGAUAACAUGUUGAACCGCAUGGUUCUACAGUGAAAGGCGGCUUUGCUGUCACUUAUAGAUGGACCCGCGCCGUAUUAGCUAGUUGGUGAGGUAACGGCUCACCAAGGCAACGAUACGUAGCCGACCUGAGAGGGGGAUCGGCCACACUGGAACUGAGACACGGUCCAGACUCCUACGGGAGGCAGCAGUAGGGAAUCUUCCGCAAUGGGCGAAAGCCUGACGGAGCAACGCCGCGUGAGUGAUGAAGGUCUUCGGAUCGUAAAACUCUGUUAUUAGGGAAGAACAAAUGCGUAAGUAACUGUGCGCGUCUUGACGGUACCUAAUCAGAAAGCCACGGCUAACUACGUG
This 497-nucleotide ribosomal RNA is filed under the name uncultured bacterium. RNAcentral's name for it is "partial 16S ribosomal RNA". It matches the Rfam family "Bacterial small subunit ribosomal RNA", at positions 28 to 507 of the family's 1533-position model. The record is from RNAcentral.